RNAcentral lists this non-coding RNA (219 nucleotides) under [Eubacterium] infirmum. Lineage: Bacteria; Bacillati; Bacillota; Clostridia; Peptostreptococcales; Anaerovoracaceae. RNAcentral also lists the same sequence under 1 other name. The record is from RNAcentral.
GAAUAAUAAUAUCAUAUUAAUCCAGAGGAACGCAUAUUAGAGAGAACAGGCGCGGAACCCUGUAUCGAGUGCCCUUCUUUGCAGAUUCAUAUCAGCAGAGAAACUGUAUUGUGGAGUUUUACUUAUAUGCCAUUGGAACGAGGGACAAAUUCUUCUUCCGAGAAGGCAAGUAAGACGGUGAAGCAUAGCCAGGAGACUUAUUAAUGAGAUAUACACCUG